Molecule: long non-coding RNA, 950 nt
Organism: Betta splendens (Siamese fighting fish)
Lineage: Eukaryota; Metazoa; Chordata; Actinopteri; Anabantiformes; Osphronemidae
Exons: 3
Source: RefSeq, a predicted model, not a curated record
CCUGCAACAAGUUUAGGGUAAAUGGAUUUUGGCAUCAUCGACAAAACAAACAACCUCUGUAUUAAUAAAUCAAGCAGGACUUUAACUUAGCCGUUAGCUUAGCAAUCACGCUAACUCCGACUUAGCGUGAUUGUUUGCGCGCUCGUGUGCUUUUGGAAAGAGGAAUGUGUGCCAGUGGUUUAUUGGCGUCCACGCUGGUCUGACCUCAGGGUGUAAAGGGCUGUUUCUGCCCUGUUACUUCACCGGCUCGGAUUACAAGCUGGAGGUGACCGGGGCCUGAAACGGUCCAGCGCUCCGACACGCAAAUUAAGAAAUGCGUCCCAUCGCCGCAACACCACAGAGCAGUUGGUAUUCAUUACGGGUCGUCACGUACGAGGAAGGUUCACGCGAAGGCGCACGGUGCUUUCCCAGGCGUCACAUGGAGCGGUUCCAACCAGGUAGCCGUCCUUUCAGCUUCAGCAUUAAAACACACACCAUCCACGCCUUAUUCUAGGAAAGAAAGAAGAUUAACGACAUCAAGACGCCACAAAUAUGCAAGUACAUGAAAGAAAUGGCCUCACGCCACGGUUCCUACAGUAUCCAUGAGUGAUGAAGGACAGAGUGGUAUCCAUCCAGUCUGCACAGAAGCUAAGUCUAAAUGAAUGGACUAAAGGUUGCUAUGAUGAGACGCAGAAUUCAGGUGCUGAGGAGGAACCAAGACGAGCGGCGGAGGCGGAGGAAGAAGCCAUGACCCUGGUUUUCAGGCCUUAUAGGGUGUCCGCCUCAACCUUCAUGACCUUCAUCACUUCGUCCUCUUCGUCCCAUCCUCCGUCUGAGCCAUGUAUUUGACUUCCUUCCUUUUUUAUUCCUCCUUUCACUUUCACCCACCGCCUCCCAGUUCACAGCACUCCAUGACUUCCCACCCUUCUUCCUUCACCUGCCUGCCCUCUGUAACUAACUAAUAAAUAAAU